Molecule: ribosomal RNA, 253 nt
Filed under: uncultured bacterium
Lineage: Bacteria
Description: partial 16S ribosomal RNA
Rfam family: Bacterial small subunit ribosomal RNA
Source: RNAcentral
UACGAAGGGGGCUAGCGUUGCUCGGAAUUACUGGGCGUAAAGCGCGUGUAGGCGGCUCGAUAAGUCUGCUGUGAAAGUCCAGGCUCAACCCUGGGAUGCCGGUGGAUACUGUCGAGCUCGAGUCCGGAAGAGGCGAGUGGAAUUCCUGGUGUAGCGGUGAAAUGCGCAGAUAUCAGGAGGAACACCAAUGGCGAAGGCAGCUCGCUGGGGACGUGACUGACGCUGAGACGCGAAAGCGUGGGGAGCAAACAGG